This 45-nucleotide non-coding RNA is filed under the name Schistosoma mansoni. Lineage: Eukaryota; Metazoa; Platyhelminthes; Trematoda; Strigeidida; Schistosomatidae. The record is from RNAcentral.
AUCCAGGUGACGAGUCCCGAGUAGGACGAAACGCGCGUCCUGGAU